Molecule: ribosomal RNA, 497 nt
Filed under: uncultured bacterium
Lineage: Bacteria
Description: partial 16S ribosomal RNA
Rfam family: Bacterial small subunit ribosomal RNA
Source: RNAcentral
GAUGAACGCUGGCGGCGUGCCUAAUACAUGCAAGUCGAGCGAACAGACGAGGAGCUUGCUCCUCUGACGUUAGCGGCGGACGGGUGAGUAACACGUGGAUAACCUACCUAUAAGACUGGGAUAACUUCGGGAAACCGGAGCUAAUACCGGAUAAUAUAUUGAACCGCAUGGUUCAAUAGUAAAAGACGGUUUUGCUGUCACUUAUAGAUGGAUCCGCGCCGCAUUAGCUAGUUGGUAAGGUAACGGCUUACCAAGGCGACGAUGCGUAGCCGACCUGAGAGGGUGAGCGGCCACACUGGAACUGAGACACGGUCCAGACUCCUACGGGAGGCAGCAGUAGGGAAUCUUCCGCAAUGGGCGAAAGCCUGACGGAGCGACGCCGCGUGAGUGAUGAAGGUCUUCGGAUCGUAAAACUCUGUUAUUAGGGAAGAACAAAUGUGUAAGUAACUAUGCACGUCUUGACGGUACCUAAUCAGAAAGCCACGGCUAACUACGUG